CCUGACUGCUAUCGGAUUGAUACUAAGCCAUGCGAGUCAUUGUAGUAAUACAAGGCAGACGGCUCAGCAACGCGUAGUCAACCUAACCUAUGGACGGGAAUAACCUCGGGAAACUGAGUAUAAUGCCCGAUAGAACAUUAUGCCUGGAAUGGUUUAUGUUCCAAAUGAUUUAUCGCCGUAGGAUGGGACUGCGGCCUAUCAGUUUGUUGGUGAGGUAAUGGCCCACCAAGACUAUUACAGGUACGGGCUCUGAGAGGAGUAGCCCGGAGAUGGGUACUGAGACACGGACCCAGGCCCUAUGGGGCGCAGCAGGCGAGAAAACUUUGCAAUGUGCGAAAGCACGACAAGGUUAAUCCGAGUGGUUUCUGCUAAAGGAACCUUUUGUUAGUCCUAGAAACACUAACGAAUAAGGGGUGGGCAAGUUCUGGUGUCAGCCGCCGCGGUAAAACCAGCACCUCAAGUGGUCAGGAUGAUUAUUGGGCCUAAAGCAUCCGUAGCCGGCUCUAUAAGUUUUCGGUUAAAUCUGUACGCUCAACGUACAGGCUGCCGGGAAUACUGCAGAGCUAGGGAGUGGGAGAGGUAGACGGUACUCGGGAGGAAGGGGUAAAAUCCUUUGAUCUCUCGAUGACCACCUGUGGCGAAGGCGGUCUACCAGAACACGUCCGACGGUGAGGGAUGAAAGCUGGGGGAGCAAACCGGAUUAGAUACCCGGGUAGUCCCAGCUGUAAACUAUGCAAACUCAGUGAUGCAUUGACUUGUGGUCAAUGCAGUGCUGCAGGGAAGCCGUUAAGUUUGCCGCCUGGGAAGUACGUACGCAAGUAUGAAACUUAAAGGAAUUGGCGGGGGAGCACCACACAGGGGUGAAGCCUGCGGUUC
Molecule: ribosomal RNA, 876 nt
Filed under: uncultured archaeon
Lineage: Archaea
Description: bacterial SSU rRNA
Rfam family: Archaeal small subunit ribosomal RNA
Source: RNAcentral